RNAcentral lists this ribosomal RNA (459 nucleotides) under uncultured bacterium. RNAcentral describes it as "partial 16S ribosomal RNA". It matches the Rfam family "Bacterial small subunit ribosomal RNA", at positions 338 to 795 of the family's 1533-position model. The record is from RNAcentral.
CCUACGGGGGGCAGCAGUGAGGAAUAUUGGUCAAUGGACGGGAGUCUGAACCAGCCAAGCCGCGUGAAGGAAGACGGUACUGUGAGUCGUAAACCUCUUUUGUACGGGAGCAAAGGUGGGUACGUGUAUUCAGAUGAGUGUACCUGAAGAAUAAGGAUCGGCUAACUCCGUGCCAGCAGCCGCGGUAAUACGGAGGAUCUGAGCGUUAUCCGGAUUUAUUGGGUUUAACGGGUGCGCAGGCGGUCUGUUAAGUCAGCGGUAAAAGGUCGGGGCUCAACCCCGUCGAGCCGUUGAAACUGGCAGUCUUGAGUGGGAGAGAAGUAUGCGGAAUGCGCGGUGUAGCGGUGAAAUGCAUAGAUAUCACGCAGAACGCCGAUUGCGAAGGCAGCAUGCCGGCGCCCAACUGACGCUGAGGCACGAAAGCGUGGGUAUCGAACAGGAUUAGAUACCCUUGUAGUC